GGAGAGGUGGCUGAGCGGCCGAAAGCAGCCGCCUGCUAAGCGGUUGACCCUGUAAAAAGGGUCCCCGGGUUCAAAUCCCGGCCUCUCCGCCA
Molecule: transfer RNA, 92 nt
Filed under: Candidatus Kaelpia aquatica
Lineage: Bacteria; Pseudomonadati; Candidatus Omnitrophota
Description: tRNA-Ser
Rfam family: tRNA
About the family: Transfer RNA (tRNA) molecules are approximately 80 nucleotides in length.
Source: RNAcentral